UACGUAGGUGGCGAGCGUUGUCCGGAUUUACUGGGCGUAAAGAGCGCGCAGGCGGUCGAUUUAGUCGGAUGUGAAAGCCCCCGGCUCAACUGGGGAGGGUCAUUCGAUACUGAUCGACUCGAAGGCAGGAGAGGGAAGCGGAAUUCCCGGUGUAGUGGUGAAAUGCGUAGAUAUCGGGAGGAACACCAGUGGCGAAGGCGGCUUCCUGGCCUGUUCUUGACGCUGAGGCGCGAAAGCUAGGGGAGCAAACGGG
RNAcentral lists this ribosomal RNA (253 nucleotides) under uncultured bacterium. RNAcentral's name for it is "partial 16S ribosomal RNA". It matches the Rfam family "Bacterial small subunit ribosomal RNA", at positions 524 to 776 of the family's 1533-position model. The record is from RNAcentral.